This 254-nucleotide ribosomal RNA is filed under the name uncultured bacterium. RNAcentral describes it as "partial 16S ribosomal RNA". It matches the Rfam family "Bacterial small subunit ribosomal RNA", at positions 524 to 776 of the family's 1533-position model. The record is from RNAcentral.
UACGGGGGGAGCAAGCGUUGUUCGGAUUUACUGGGCGUAAAGGGCGCGUAGGCGGCCACCGCAAGUCGACUGUGAAAUCUCCGGGCUUAACCCGGAAAGGUCAGCCGAUACUGCGGGGCUAGAGUGCAGAAGGGGCAACUGGAAUUCUCGGUGUAGCGGUGAAAUGCGUAGAUAUCGAGAGGAACACCUGCGGCGAAGGCGGGUUGCUGGGCUGACACUGACGCUGAGACACGAAAGCGUGGGGAGCAAACAGG